Molecule: ribosomal RNA, 497 nt
Filed under: uncultured bacterium
Lineage: Bacteria
Description: partial 16S ribosomal RNA
Rfam family: Bacterial small subunit ribosomal RNA
Source: RNAcentral
GAUGAACGCUGGCGGCGUGCUUAAUACAUGCAAGUCGAGCGGACAGACGAGGAGCUUGCUCCGCUGACGUUAGCGGCGGACGGGUGUGUAACACGUGUAUAACCUACCUAUAUGACUGGUAUCACUUCGGGAAUCCGGAUCUUAUCCGGGAUAAUAUAUUGAUCCGCGUGGUGCAUUGGUGAAUGACGGUUUUUCUGUCACUUAUAGAUGGAUCCGGGCGGCAUUAGCUAGUUGGUAAGUGAACGGCUUAUCAAGGCUACCAUGGGUUGGCGACCUGUGAGAGGGAUAGCCCACACGGGAACGGAGCCACGGUCAAGACUCCUAAGGGAGGCCGCAGUAGGGAAUCGUCCGCAACGGGCGAAAGCAUGACGGAGCAACGCCGCGUGAGUGAUGACGGCCUUGGGAUCGUAAAACCCUCUUAUGAGGGAAGAACCAAUGUGUAAGUAAAUAUGGCCGUAUUGACGGUAACUAGUAAGAAAGCAACGGCUAACUACGUG